GACGAACGCUGGCGGCGUGCUUAACACAUGCAAGUCGAACGGAAAGGCCCUGCUUUUGUGGGGUGCUCGAGUGGCGAACGGGUGAGUAACACGUGAGUAACCUGCCCUUGACUUUGGGAUAACUUCAGGAAACUGGGGCUAAUACCGGAUAGGAGCUCCUGCUGCAUGGUGGGGGUUGGAAAGUUUCGGCGGCUGGGGAUGGACUCGCGGCUUAUCAGCUUGUUGGUGGGGUAGUGGCUUACCAAGGCUUUGACGGGUAGCCGGCCUGAGAGGGUGACCGGCCACAUUGGGACUGAGAUACGGCCCAGACUCCUACGGGAGGCAGCAGUGGGGAAUAUUGCACAAUGGGCGGAAGCCUGAUGCAGCAACGCCGCGUGCGGGAUGACGGCCUUCGGGUUGUAAACCGCUUUCGCCUGUGACGAAGCGUGAGUGACGGUAAUGGGUAAAGAAGCACCGGCUAACUACGUGCCAGCAGCCGCGGUGAUACGUAGGGUGCGAGCGUUGUCCGGAUUUAUUGGGCGUAAAGGGCUCGUAGGUGGUUGAUCGCGUCGGAAGUGUAAUCUUGGGGCUUAACCCUGAGCGUGCUUUCGAUACGGGUUGACUUGAGGAAGGUAGGGGAGAAUGGAAUUCCUGGUGGGGCGGUGGAAUGCGCAGAUAUCAGGAGGAACACCAGUGGCGAAGGCGGUUCUCUGGGCCUUUCCUGACGCUGAGGAGCGAAAGCGUGGGGAGCGAACAGGCUUAGAUACCCUGGUAGUCCACGCUGUAAACGGUGGGUACUAGGUGUGGGGUCCAUUCCACGGGUUCCGUGCCGUAGCUAACGCUUUAAGUACCCCGCCUGGGGAGUACGGCCGCAAGGCUAAAACUCAAAGGAAUUGACGGGGCCCCGCACAAGCGGCGGAGCAUGCGGAUUAAUUCGAUGCAACGCGUAGAACCUUACCUGGGUUUGACAUGGAUCGGGAGUGCUCAGAGAUGGGUGUGCCUCUUUUGGGGUCGGUUCACAGGUGGUGCAUGGCUGUCGUCAGCUCGUGUCGUGAGAUGUUGGGUUAAGUCCCGCAACGAGCGCAACCCUUGUUCACUGUUGCCAGCACGUUAUGGUGGGGACUCAGUGGAGACCGCCGGGGUCAACUCGGAGGAAGGUGGGGAUGACGUCAAGUCAUCAUGCCCCUUAUGUCCAGGGCUUCACGCAUGCUACAAUGGCUGGUACAGAGAGUGGCGAGCCUGUGAGGGUGAGCGAAUCUCGGAAAGUCGGUCUCAGUUCGGAUUGGGGUCUGCAACUCGACCUCAUGAAGUCGGAGUCGCUAGUAAUCGCAGAUCAGCAACGCUGCGGUGAAUACGUUCCCGGGGCU
RNAcentral lists this ribosomal RNA (1346 nucleotides) under uncultured bacterium. RNAcentral describes it as "partial 16S ribosomal RNA". It matches the Rfam family "Bacterial small subunit ribosomal RNA", at positions 28 to 1381 of the family's 1533-position model. The record is from RNAcentral.